RNAcentral lists this ribosomal RNA (305 nucleotides) under uncultured bacterium. RNAcentral describes it as "bacterial SSU rRNA". It matches the Rfam family "Bacterial small subunit ribosomal RNA", at positions 335 to 658 of the family's 1533-position model. The record is from RNAcentral.
UGCCUACGGGGGGCAGCAGUGGGGAAUAUUGCACAAUGGGGGAAACCCUGAUGCAGCGACGCCGCGUGAAGGAAGACGUAUUUCGGUAUGUAAACUUCUAUCAGCAAGGAAGAUGAUGACGGUACUUGACUAAGAAGCCCCGGCUAACUACGUGCCAGCAGCCGCGGUAAUACGUAGGGGGCAAGCGUUAUCCGGAUUUACUGGGUGUAAAGGGAGCGUAGGCGGCCAUGCAAGUCAGAAGUGAAAGCCCGGGGCCCAACCCCGGGACUGCUUUUGAAACUGUAGGGCUAGAUUGCCGGAGAGGG